AGCAGCCGCGGUAAUUCCAGCUCCAAUAGCGUAUAUUAAAGUUGUUGCAGUUAAAAAGCUCGUAGUUGAAUUUCGGGAUCAAUUAAUUGGUCGUGCCUCUGGUACGUACUGAUUUUAUUGGUUUCUCCCUUCUGACGAACCAUGAUGUCAUUAAUUUGAUGUCGUGGAGAAUCAGGACUGUUACUUUGAAAAAAUUAGAGUGUUUAAAGCAAGCUAACGCUUGAAUACAUUAGCAUGGAAUAAUGAAAUAGGACGUUUGAUCCUAUUUUGUUGGUUUCUAGGAUCGACGUAAUGAUUAAUAGGGAUAGUUGGGGGCAUUAGUAUUCAAUUGUCAGAGGUGAAAUUCUUGGAUUUAUUGAAGACUAACUACUGCGAAAGCAUUUGCCAAGGAUGUUUUUCAUUAAUCAAGAACGAAAGUUAGGGGAUCGAAGACGAUCAGAUACCGUCGUAGUCUUAACCAUAAACUAUGCCGACUAGGGAUCGGAUGAUGUUAAUUUUUUUAAUGACUCAUUCGGCGCCU
This 520-nucleotide ribosomal RNA is filed under the name uncultured Glomus. Its description in RNAcentral is "SSU rRNA". It matches the Rfam family "Eukaryotic small subunit ribosomal RNA", at positions 569 to 1088 of the family's 1831-position model. Lineage: Eukaryota; Fungi; Glomeromycota; Glomeromycetes; Glomerales; Glomeraceae. The record is from RNAcentral.